This 465-nucleotide ribosomal RNA is filed under the name uncultured bacterium. RNAcentral's name for it is "partial 16S ribosomal RNA". It matches the Rfam family "Bacterial small subunit ribosomal RNA", at positions 338 to 795 of the family's 1533-position model. The record is from RNAcentral.
CCUACGUGGAGCAGCCGUGGGGAAUAUUGCGCAAUGGGCGAAAGCCUGACGCAGCGACGCCGCGUGAGGGAUGAAGGUCUUCGGAUCGUAAACCUCUGUCAGCAGGGAAGAACGGUCACUGUGCUAAUCGGCAGUGAAUUGACGGUACCUGCAAAGGAAGCACCGGCUAACUCCGUGCCAGCAGCCGCGGUAAUACGGAGGGUGGGAGCGUUAAUCGGAAUUACUGGGCGUAAAGCGCUCGUAGGCGGUAUGUCAAGUCAAGGGUGAAAUCCCCGCGCUCAACGUGGGAACUGCCUUUGAAACGGGCAAACUGGAGUGUGUGAGAGGAUAGUGUAAUUCCAGGUGUAGGAGUGAAAUCCGUAGAUAUCUGGAGGAACAUCAGUGGCGAAGGCGACUAUCUGGCACAUAACUGACGCUGAGGAGCGAAAGCGUGGGUAGCAAACAGGAUUAGAUACCCCAGUAGUC